GACGAACGCUGGCGGCGUGCUUAACACAUGCAAGUCGAACGGAAAGGCCCUGCUUUUGUGGGGUGCUCGAGUGGCGAACGGGUGAGUAACACGUGAGUAACCUGCCCUUGACUUUGGGAUAACUUCAGGAAACUGGGGCUAAUACCGGAUAGGAGCUCCUGCUGCAUGGUGGGGGUUGGAAAGUUUCGGCGGUUGGGGAUGGACUCGCGGCUUAUCAGCUUGUUGGUGGGGUAGUGGCUUACCAAGGCUUUGACGGGUAGCCGGCCUGAGAGGGUGACCGGCCACAUUGGGACUGAGAUACGGCCCAGACUCCUACGGGAGGCAGCAGUGGGGAAUAUUGCACAAUGGGCGGAAGCCUGAUGCAGCAACGCCGCGUGCGGGAUGACGGCCUUCGGGUUGUAAACCGCUUUCGCCUGUGACGAAGCGUGAGUGACGGUAAUGGGUAAAGAAGCACCGGCUAACUACGUGCCAGCAGCCGCGGUGAUACGUAGGGUGCGAGCGUUGUCCGGAUUUAUUGGGCGUAAAGGGCUCGUAGGUGGUUGAUCGCGUCGGAAGUGUAAUCUUGGGGCUUAACCCUGAGCGUGCUUUCGAUACGGGUUGACUUGAGGAAGGUAGGGGAGAAUGGAAUUCCUGGUGGAGCGGUGGAAUGCGCAGAUAUCAGGAGGAACACCAGUGGCGAAGGCGGUUCUCUGGGCCUUUCCUGACGCUGAGGAGCGAAAGCGUGGGGAGCGAACAGGCUUAGAUACCCUGGUAGUCCACGCUGUAAACGGUGGGUACUAGGUGUGGGGUCCAUUCCACGGGUUCCGUGCCGUAGCUAACGCUUUAAGUACCCCGCCUGGGGAGUACGGCCGCAAGGCUAAAACUCAAAGGAAUUGACGGGGCCCCGCACAAGCGGCGGAGCAUGCGGAUUAAUUCGAUGCAACGCGUAAAACCUUACCUGGGUUUGACAUGGAUCGGGAGUGCUCAGAGAUGGGUGUGCCUCUUUUGGGGUCGGUUCACAGGUGGUGCAUGCCUGUCGUCAGCUCGUGUCGUGAGAUGUUGGGUUAAGUCCCGCAACGAGCGCAACCCUUGUUCACUGUUGCCAGCACGUUAUGGUGGGGACUCAGUGGAGACCGCCGGGGUCAACUCGGAGGAAGGUGGGGAUGACGUCAAGUCCUCAUGCCCCUUAUGUCCAGGGCUUCACGCAUGCUACAAUGGCUGGUACAGAGAGUGGCGAGCCUGUGAGGGUGAGCGAAUCUCGGAAAGCCGGUCUCAGUUCGGAUUGGGGUCUGCAACUCGACCUCAUGAAGUCGGAGUCGCUAGUAAUCGCAGAUCAGCAACGCUGCGGUGAAUACGUUCCCGGG
RNAcentral lists this ribosomal RNA (1343 nucleotides) under uncultured bacterium. RNAcentral describes it as "16S ribosomal RNA". It matches the Rfam family "Bacterial small subunit ribosomal RNA", at positions 28 to 1378 of the family's 1533-position model. The record is from RNAcentral.